RNAcentral lists this ribosomal RNA (157 nucleotides) under Pseudomonas sp. HMSC066A08. RNAcentral's name for it is "partial 16S ribosomal RNA". It matches the Rfam family "Bacterial small subunit ribosomal RNA", at positions 1385 to 1533 of the family's 1533-position model. The record is from RNAcentral. Lineage: Bacteria; Pseudomonadati; Pseudomonadota; Gammaproteobacteria; Pseudomonadales; Pseudomonadaceae.
ACACACCGCCCGUCACACCAUGGGAGUGGGUUGCUCCAGAAGUAGCUAGUCUAACCGCAAGGGGGACGGUUACCACGGAGUGAUUCAUGACUGGGGUGAAGUCGUAACAAGGUAGCCGUAGGGGAACCUGCGGCUGGAUCACCUCCUUAAUCGAAGA